AUUGAACGCUGGCGGCAGGCCUAACACAUGCAAGUCGAACGGUAACAGGGAUCAGCUUGCUGAUUCGCUGACGAGUGGCGGACGGGUGAGUAAUGUCUGGGAAACUGCCUGAUGGAGGGGGAUAACUACUGGAAACGGUAGCUAAUACCGCAUAACGUCGCAAGACCAAAGAGGGGGACCUUCGGGCCUCUUGCCAUCGGAUGUGCCCAGAUGGGAUUAGCUAGUAGGUGGGGUAACGGCUCACCUAGGCGACGAUCCCUAGCUGGUCUGAGAGGAUGACCAGCCACACUGGAACUGAGACACGGUCCAGACUCCUACGGGAGGCAGCAGUGGGGAAUAUUGCACAAUGGGCGCAAGCCUGAUGCAGCCAUGCCGCGUGUAUGAAGAAGGCCUUCGGGUUGUAAAGUACUUUCAGCGGGGAGGAAGGGAGUAAAGUUAAUACCUUUGCUCAUUGACGUUACCCGCAGAAGAAGCACCGGCCAACUCCGUG
RNAcentral lists this ribosomal RNA (490 nucleotides) under uncultured bacterium. RNAcentral describes it as "partial 16S ribosomal RNA". It matches the Rfam family "Bacterial small subunit ribosomal RNA", at positions 30 to 507 of the family's 1533-position model. The record is from RNAcentral.